UAUGACUCUCGGCAACGGAUAUCUCGGCUUUCGCAUCGAUGAAGAACGUAGCGAAAUGCGAUACGUGGUGUGAAUUGCAGAAUCCCGUGAACCAUCGAGUCUUUGAACGC
RNAcentral lists this ribosomal RNA (110 nucleotides) under Carex x boenninghausiana. RNAcentral's name for it is "partial 5.8S ribosomal RNA". It matches the Rfam family "5.8S ribosomal RNA", at positions 1 to 107 of the family's 154-position model. Rfam says of the family: 5.8S ribosomal RNA (5.8S rRNA) is a component of the large subunit of the eukaryotic ribosome. It is transcribed by RNA polymerase I as part of the 45S precursor that also contains 18S and 28S rRNA. The record is from RNAcentral. Lineage: Eukaryota; Viridiplantae; Streptophyta; Magnoliopsida; Poales; Cyperaceae.